This 447-nucleotide ribosomal RNA is filed under the name uncultured bacterium. RNAcentral's name for it is "bacterial SSU rRNA". It matches the Rfam family "Bacterial small subunit ribosomal RNA", at positions 338 to 795 of the family's 1533-position model. The record is from RNAcentral.
CCUACGGGGGGCACCAGUGGGGAAUAUUGCACAAUGGGCGCAAGCCUGAUGCAGCGACGCCGCGUGGGGGAUGACGGCCUUCGGGUUGUAAACUCCUUUCGCUAGGGACGAAGCUUUUUGUGACGGUACCUAGAUAAGAAGCACCGGCUAACUACGUGCCAGCAGCCGCGGUAAUACGUAGGGUGCGAGCGUUGUCCGGAAUUACUGGGCGUAAAGGGCUCGUAGGUGGUUUGUCGCGUCGUCUGUGAAAUUCCGGGGCUUAACUCCGGGCGUGCAGGCGAUACGGGCAUAACUUGAGUACUGUAGGGGUAACUGGAAUUCCUGGUGUAGCGGUGAAAUGCGCAGAUAUCAGGAGGAACACCGAUGGCGAAGGCAGGUUACUGGGCAGUUACUGACGCUGAGGAGCGAAAGCAUGGGUAGCGAACAGGAUUAGAUACCCCGGUAGUC